This 357-nucleotide ribosomal RNA is filed under the name uncultured Tylospora. RNAcentral's name for it is "eukaryotic LSU rRNA". The stretch from base 1 to 123 matches the Rfam family "5.8S ribosomal RNA", at positions 33 to 154 of the family's 154-position model. The record is from RNAcentral. Lineage: Eukaryota; Fungi; Basidiomycota; Agaricomycetes; Atheliales; Atheliaceae.
UCGAUGAAGAACGCAGUGAAAUGCGAUAAGUAAUGUGAAUUGCAGAUUUUCAGUGAAUCAUCGAAUCUUUGAACACACCUUGCACCCCUUGGUAUUCCGAGGGGCAUGCCUGUUUGAGUGUCAUUAAAUCCUCAACCGCGCCGAUUGAUUUCGGUGGGGCUUGGACUUUGGAGCGUGCUGGCGAAGGUUGGCUCCUCUUUAAAUGCAUCAGCGGAAGAAACCUUUGUCUUUUCUGCCUUUGGUGUGAUAAUUGUGUUGCGCCGUGGUGGAACUUCAACGAUCUGCUUACAAUGGUCUUCAGACGAAACCUCAUGUCAUCUUGACCUCAAAUCAGGUAGGACUACCCGCUGAACUUAA